RNAcentral lists this long non-coding RNA (1054 nucleotides) under Cricetulus griseus (Chinese hamster). RNAcentral describes it as "lncRNA (ENSCGRG00015038364.1)". The record is from RNAcentral. Lineage: Eukaryota; Metazoa; Chordata; Mammalia; Rodentia; Cricetidae.
AAACAGAAGCUAAGUUAGAAUAGUUUCAGUUGGAGUCUUACCGUGUUGCAUUUGUAGUCUCAACUGAUCCUCUUGCCUCAGCCUCCUGAAUCUGGCACAAGUAUGUGUCACCAACUCUGGCUAAACCUUUUCAAAUUUUUAAUUAACUAAUGUUGUGGGGAGGGGGACUCAGAUGACAAUUUUCAGGAGUCGUUUCUCUCCUGUCAUCAUGUGGGUUCCAAGGACUGAACGCAGGUGGUAAGUCUUGGUGGCAGGACCUGCUGAGCCAGAGUUCCAAUACAGCAAGGUCUUGUCUGAGAAAAACAAAACUUAGGGCAGGGGAUGUACCUUAGCUGGUAGCAUUCUUGCCUACUAUGUAGGGGGUCCUGGAUUAGAUCCCCAAACUGCAUACAUCAAGUGUGAAGGCACAGGAUUAGAAUCCUGGCACUUGGGAGGCAGAGGCAGGCGGAUCUCUGUGAGUUCAAGGCCAGCUUGGUCUACAGAGUAAGUUCCAGGACUACACACAGAGAAACACUGUCUCCAAAAGCCUAAGUAAGUAAAUAAAGAAAGAAAGAAAGAAAGAAGAAGAGCGGGAUCCUGAGAUCUUGCACAUGCUCAGUAGCUUCAGCUCUGGCUAGGCUGCAGCCUCUUCACAGGCACACAGAUCUGUCUGUUUUGGGGACACUAUAGGUGUCCUGGUGCCAUCCUCUCCUUCCACUGCUGAUGAGAGAGGGAUGCCUCUGUUCUUAACACCUGGUUGCUGUCAAGAAGCUAGGAUGGCCAGACGUUGGUGGCGCAGGCUUUUAAUCCCAGCACUCGGGAAGCAGAGGCAGUCAGAUCUCUGUGAGUUUGAGGCCAGCCUGGUCUACAGAGGGAGUUCCAGGACAGGCUCCAAAGCUACAGAGAAACCGUCUCGAAAAAAGAGAAGGAGGAGGAGGAGGAGGAGGAGGAGGAGGAGGAAGGAGGAGGAAAGGAGAAGAGAAGAGAAGAAGAAGAAGAAGAAGAAGAAGAAGAAGAAGAAGAAGAAGAAGAAGAAGAAGAAGAAGCCAGGUUGAAGAAACAAGUUAGAAAACAG